GCCCCGGUGGUGCAGUGGUAGAGCACGCGUCCCCGGACAGGAUGAAUCGCGAGUUCGAUUUUCGCCGGAGGCC
Molecule: non-coding RNA, 73 nt
Organism: Parelaphostrongylus tenuis
Lineage: Eukaryota; Metazoa; Nematoda; Chromadorea; Rhabditida; Metastrongylidae
Source: the annotation of a GenBank genome assembly